Molecule: non-coding RNA, 120 nt
Organism: Sphingobacteriales bacterium 44-61
Lineage: Bacteria; Pseudomonadati; Bacteroidota; Sphingobacteriia; Sphingobacteriales
Source: Rfam
GAGAGUGGGCCUCUCGUAAUCGAAGUACAGGCUUUGGUUACAAACUGCUUCUAAGUUAUCACGGUUAAGCAGCCGUGGUGGCGAGCGUUAGAAGAAAAAGGCAUCGUAAGGUGUCCAUGU